CCUACGGGUGGCAGCAGUGAGGAAUAUUGGUCAAUGGGCGCGAGCCUGAACCAGCCAAGUCGCGUGAGGGAAGACGGCCCUACGGGUUGUAAACCUCUUUUGCCGGGGAGCAACGGGCGCCACGUGUGGCGCCACUGAGAGUACUCGGAGAAAAAGCAUCGGCAAACUCCGUGCCAGAAGCCGCGGUAAUACGGAGGAUGCGAGCGUUAUCCGGAUUUAUUGGGUUUAAGGGGGGCGAAGGUGGAGAGUUAAGUCGGUGGUCAAAUUGAUGGGCUCAACCCCUUCCCGCCAUUGAAACUGGCGCUCUUGAGUGGAAGAGAAGUAUGCGGAAUGCGUGGUGUAGCGGUGAAAUGCAUAGAUAUCACGCAGAACCCCGAUUGCGAAGGCAGCAUGCCGGCUUCCUACUGACGCUGAAGCACGAAAGCGUGGGGAUCGAACAGGAUUAGAUACCCGAGUAGUC
This 460-nucleotide ribosomal RNA is filed under the name uncultured bacterium. RNAcentral describes it as "partial 16S ribosomal RNA". It matches the Rfam family "Bacterial small subunit ribosomal RNA", at positions 338 to 795 of the family's 1533-position model. The record is from RNAcentral.